ACACGGAGCGUCAUGGUCUCAACAUUUUUAUCCCUAGUCCCGCUUAAGGAAGGCGACUCGAACACGAUAGUAAACAGCCUCUGCCAGGAACUAAGCAACUUGAAUAUGUCAUUCACUGCAAUUGGCUGUUAAUAGUACCUGAACCUCUCAAAAUACCUCGAGUUUGCGACACAAGGUGACUGUCGAUUGAAGCUGCGGUUACCCGAAUUCUGCAGCAAUGGAUUGAGCUAAAGCUCCACUUCAGCAUUGCUGCAACAAAUGAAAAAUGUUUUAAGGCACAAACGUUGCACAAACUUUUUAGUGAUUAUGUAAAUUAUUUGUAUCUGCUGUUCUUGCAGCCAGUGCUAGCUCAAAUGCAGUACAUCAACAAACUUUUUCAAACAAGCACUGGAGACUCAAGCAAACUUUUAAAUGAUCUCAUAUAUGCGAUAAAUUCACUUAAAUGCAAAAUCAUUCCCCCUUAUGUCAAUAUUGAUAUUUUAAAAAACGAUUUUCAACAUUUUGUUAAGCACGAUUGCUAUUUGGGAUAUGCAUUCGACACAAAGCUCAAAGAGUAUAAGGAAAAUAUCCCGAACGAUAUUGAGGCAGAGAUUCGUUUGAAAUUUUCCAACUUUAUAGUCGAAUUAAUUAUUGAGCUCAAGCAGAGAUUGCCUGACAAUUUUGAAAUCCUCCAGCAAAUUGAUUUGUUUUCCGUCGACAAAAUCUUAUGUGCCAAUAAGGCAAAAAUUGUGCACAUUCUCGAGCACUUUAAGGUGGAAUCAACAAAUAUUGAAGAGAUUAUAUUACAAUACGCGAACGUCCACCUUAUUAAAUGGUCCAAUAAAAAGGAUACCACAAGCUUUUGGGCCGAAGUGUCCAACUACGUGGAUGCAGCAGGGAACAAAUGAUUAUCGGCACUGGCAUCACCUCUUUACAGAGGUGGAAAGAGUGUUCAGUCAAAUGAACAAUGUAAAAACUAAACUUAUAAAUAGAAUGGCCAUUCAGACAAUAAACUCUAUCUUACACAUAAGAUACGGACUACGCCGGGAAACAAAUGCUGUCAUGAUUAUGAAGUGCCAGCAGUACGUCUAAAAAAGAUAGGGACAAAUCAGACGUACAUAAGUUCAGCUGGAGAAGAGGAUAUGUUUGACGAAUUUUCAAAAAUGCUGACUUAGUUCAAUAAAGGAACGAUUAUUUCUUGGCCUUA
This is a long non-coding RNA of Drosophila innubila, 1186 nucleotides long. RefSeq lists it as uncharacterized. The transcript has 4 exons. The record is from RefSeq and is a predicted model, not a curated record. Lineage: Eukaryota; Metazoa; Arthropoda; Insecta; Diptera; Drosophilidae.